This is a long non-coding RNA of Mesocricetus auratus (golden hamster), 1037 nucleotides long. RefSeq lists it as uncharacterized. The record is from RefSeq and is a predicted model, not a curated record. The transcript has 4 exons. NCBI's taxonomy places the organism in Eukaryota, Metazoa, Chordata, Mammalia, Rodentia, Cricetidae.
GCCGGGACUUUGGAGGUCGGAGGAGUCAGAGCCCAAGCCAUCACUGAUCCAGCCCUGGGCGUUCUGCUAUCAUCAUAGUCUACAAACCUUUCCCCCAAGGAGGCCAAGACAGUAGCACUUGCAGGAAGCAUCAAAAGCAAUCCCUGCCCCUUCCCGAGAGCACCACACAUGCAUUCAGAUAGCCUUCUUUUUGUCUUCUGCAUCUUUCUUUAACACAAGGAUGUGAACACUGCAGAGUGUCCCUGAAAGGACAGCUCAUCUUCAUUCCUUGCUGAAGUUUCCUCUAGGACGAGGCUGAGCAAGGCCAGAGGUUCUCACGUCAAAACCUCCACCUCCAACUCUCUCCCAGACCCAGCCUGCAUCAUCUCAGGGCCUGCUGGACAACUCACCUAGACCACUGACCUUCCCUAAACCUCAAACUUCCUCCACAAACAGCCACCUCCCCGGCUUGGUGACUCCGAGAGGCAGGCCAGAAGUCAGCCUGGACUCUUCUCUCUGCCAACCUCAUCCAACUUAUCCACUGGGGACUUUCCAGGCUUUACCUCAACAGAUGUCUAUAAUCUGAAACUGCUCACUGCCCCCAGUGCAGUUCCCAGAUCCGUGUCAGCACAAUGCCUCGUCCCAGACACUUGCAAUAGCAUUGUUGCUGGCCUCCCUGCUCACAACUCUGCCCCUCAUUGGUGGACUUCAGUGGAACAGCCCUCAGAUGUGAGAUGGUGCUUCCCCUCUACUGGAGAGCUUGCAGUGGCUCCCCUGUCUUCUAAAAAAGAAAAAAAAGCUCAAGCCCACUCUCCUGCUGAAAAAGUGACUUCGAUGACAGACUGCCUGGUGAACUUUCCCUUGCCCAGGGUGAUUCAGUAGCCUGAUUGCACCACAUCAGUGAUGGAUAGUUUCAGUCUUGUUUUUGGCAGCACUUAACAACAUGUGACUGUUCCUGACUAAUGUCCACAAUCUAUCAGCAUCAAUAGGGCAGAAGCUCCAUUUCCUUUAAGAGGUAUUAAAAACAGGCACAGAGACAGAGAUGGAAGAGUGAUGAG